GUCAGGAAGGCCUCUUGGAAGAGGAGUCACUUGAACAGAGAUCUCAAUGAAGUGAGGAGGCCAACCGUGAGGAAAUCUACAGAAGAAUAUUCCAGACAGGCAAAAGGUUCCAGGAGAAUAAUUCAUGAAACAAAUCAGGAAUGCUGAAGAGAGUGACAGAGAUCCUUCCAGCAAAUCUUGAGGUCUUUGAUGUGAGCACUGCCCAGAAAAUACCUUCCACUGAGCAGGUAUCAGUUAUCCUGGCAGAAAGAAGACAUCCUCUACUCUUGAAUUUCUCUCCUUCUUCCUCCUCCACUUUCACUUCCUUAAUCGAGUCCAACACUGUUUCUCACUUGGAUUAUUACAACCACCUCCUAUCACUCCUGCCUCCUGGCUUGCCCUUCUCCAGUUCUUUCUCUCAGUUGCAGCCAGAUUGAGGUUUCUAAAAUACAAACAUGGUGAUGUCACUCCCCUACUUGCAGUCCUUUUAGGGGGCCCAUCUACCCACUGUGUGCACAUGUCUUAGUGUAUCUUGCAAAGCCUUCAACCAUCUCUCUCCAACAUCCUCAGCCCUCCCUCCUGUACUGCUGUGCUCUUCAUUCCAGCUUCUCAUCAUCCCUAAUGCACUAUCGUCCCACAGAUCUGGCCAUUGCACAGGCCUAAUGCCUAUUCAGCUUUCAGUUCUCAACUUAGAGAUCUCUUUCUCCGGGAAGCCUUCCCAGAUCACCUGGGUUUGAUGUCCCUCCCUUAUGGUCGGUCCCACAGCAUCCUGCACUAACUGACUGUAAUGAAGCUCUUAUGAAACAAUAUUAUUAUCUGUUAGGGACGAGGGCACUACCACUGACACUUCAAGAAUCUCUAGCACUUUGCUCGGCACCUGGCCCAGAGCAGGUACCUUAGUAUAUGCUUAAUUAAAGGAAUGAAUGAAUGAUUAAGUGUAGCACCAACCAAACCAAAACAAAAUUAAUACUGUCAUGAAAGGGAGUAAAGCCUUGCAGUUAAAUUGAGACAUUUCCAAGUCUGGUAGGUAAAGAACAUGAAAGUUAAGACAUCAAAACUCUUCCAGAGGUUAUUUCUGGGGAGUGUGAUUAGGGGAGUGUAAAAAGGGAAUUUCAUUUUUUACUUUAUAUACCUAACAAUUGUUUGAUAUUGCUAUAAGAAUGCAUUACCGUUAUAACAAAAAUUUUUAAAAAUAAUAAAUGCCCAUAACCAAAUGUUUACUGUUAGUUUUUAAAUAACCUCUAACCCUGUUCUUAAUUUAUUUUUUAAUUUUAAUUUUAUUGGAGUAUAGUUGACUUACAAUGUUGUGUUAGUUUCAGGUGUACAGCAAAGUGAAUCAGUUAUACAUAUACAUAUAUCCACUCUUUUUUAGUUUCUUUUCCCAUAUAGGUCAUUACAGAGUAUUGAGUAGAGUUCCCUGUGCUGUACAGUAGGUCCUUGUUGGUUCUCUAUGGUAUAUAUAGCAGUGUGUGAUGUUCAUCCGAGCUCCUGAUUUAUCCCUCACCCCCCACCCCCUGCCACGUUUCCCUUUGGUUACCAUAAGUUUGUUUUUGAUAUCUCUAAGUCUGUUUCUGUUUUGUAAAUAAGUUCACUUGUAUCAUUUUUUUAAAUUAGAUUCCACAUAUGAGUGAUAUCAUAUGAGAUCUGUCUUUCUCUGUCUGACUUACUACACUUAGUAUAAUAAUUUCUUGGUCCAUCCAUGUUGCUGCAAAUGGCAUUAUUUCAUUCUUUUGUAUGGCUGAGUAAUAUUCCACUGUAUAUAUGUACCACAUCUUCUUUAUCCAUUCCUCUGUCAAUGGACAUUUAGGUUGUUUCCAUAUCUUGGCUAUUGUAAAUAGAGCUGCAGUGAACACUGGGGUGCAUGUAUCUUUUUGGAUUAUGGUUUUCUCCAGAUAUAUGCCCGGAGUGGGAUUGCUGGAUCAUAUGGUAGUUCUAUUUUUAGUUUUUUAAGAGACUUCCAUAAUGUUCUCCAUAGUGGUUGUACCAAUUUUUUUUUUUUUUUGGCUGCGUUGGAUCUUUGUUGCUGUGCAUAGGCUUUUCUCUAGUUGUGGCGAGGGGUGGCUACUCUUCAUUGUGGUGCACGGGCUUCUCAUUGCGGUGGCUUCUGUUGUUGCAGAGCACAGGCUCUAGGCGCGUGGGCUUCAGUAGUUGCAGCACGUGGGCUCAAUAGUUGUGGCGUGACGGCCCUAGAGCGCGCAGGCUUCAGUAGUUGUGGUGUGCAGGCUCAGCAGUUGUGGCUCACAGGCUCUAGAGCACAGGCUCAGUAGUUGUGGCACACAGGCUUAGUUGCUCUGCGGCAUGUGGGAUCCUCCUGGACCAGGGAUCAAACCUCUGUCUCCUGCAUUGGCAGGCGGACUCUCAACCACUGCACCACCAGGGAAGUCCUGGUUGUACCAAUUUACAUUCCCACCAACAGUGUAGGAGGGUUCCCAUUUCUCCAUACCCUCUCCAGCAUUUGUUUGUAGACUUUUUGAAGAUGGCCUCCUCUUCUUAAUUUGAAUAUUUCCAUUUGUUAAUUUUUUUUCUAAAAAAAUAGAAAAACUGUAAAAUGAAAGCUAUCUUAAAGAAAUGAAAUAUUCUGGACAUUUUUAGCUUACCUGUUAUGUGAUGUUUAUAAAGGAUUUCCAGGAUUUUUGCUGUCAUGGAAUGUUGUUAAUAAUCAUGUGUCAUGAGAAUUUAUUGUUGCUUCUUCAGGAGAGUGCAAUUGAUUUAGAGGGAAGAACAUACACUUGGAGGGAAGAAACUUUUAGUUUUCACUGUAUUCUGUACUAUUAUUCAUUAUUAUUAUUAUUCUCUACUAUUCAAAAACUUUACAAGAAGCUCCUAUUACCUUUAUAAUAAAAUAAAAACUAAUUAAAAAUUUAAAAGUGAAUAUUGGCAAGCAUUUUAUGAGGCUUUUAAAAAAUACAUUAAUACUCCCGGCAACUCUGCAAGGUAGAUAUCAUCAUCAUUUUAAAGAUGAAGAAACUGAGACUACAAGAAGUUCUGUGACUUGUUCAGGAUCAAAGUGUAAUAAGGGGCAGACUGAGGACUCAAACCCAAAUCUAAUUUUAAAGUCAAGGUAUAAUUCUUUAAAAAUGUAACACAUCGUGUUUUUUGUUUUAUUAAACAAGUAAAUAGUAGUUUGCUUGGAGGAUAAGUGUGUUACUUUAGGGAUGGAGAGAGAUUUAUUUUCUUAGUUUAGGGCAGUAGCAAAGCUUAGGGAUUCAAGAUAAAUGCUUUCCUGGACUAAGGUACCCAAAGAGGAAUCAUUAGCUGCCAAAUUGAAAACAAAUUUCCUUCUAACAUCGUUAUUAGCAUCUUAAACAUUAUCAUAUUUCCUAAAUAGUCUUUCUCAGCUUUAGCAACAAUAAAGCUUUAGACAUAUAAGCCUUGAAUAUAGGAAGCAAUCGAUAUUGAUUUUAAAUUUGUUAAAGUAUAAAUGUGUGUGU
Balaenoptera ricei (Rice's whale) is the source of this 3410-nucleotide long non-coding RNA. RefSeq lists it as uncharacterized. The transcript is spliced from 4 exons. The record is from RefSeq and is a predicted model, not a curated record. Lineage: Eukaryota; Metazoa; Chordata; Mammalia; Artiodactyla; Balaenopteridae.